GACGAACGCUGGCGGCGUGCCUAAUACAUGCAAGUCGAGCGCUGAAGGUUGGUACUUGUACCAACUGGAUGAGCAGCGAACGGGUGAGUAACGCGUGGGGAAUCUGCCUUUGAGCGGGGGACAACAUUUGGAAACGAAUGCUAAUACCGCAUAAAAACUUUAAACACAAGGUUUAAGUUUGAAAGAUGCAUUUGCAUCACUCAAAGAUGAUCCCGCGUUGUAUUAGCUAGUUGGUGAGGUAAAGGCUCACCAAGGCGGUGAUACAUAGCCGACCUGAGAGGGUGGACGGCCACAAUGGGACUGAGAACACGCCCAAACUCCUACGGGAAGCAGCAGUAGGGGAUCUUCGGCAAAUGACGGAAGUCUGACCGAACAACGGCGGGGGGGGGGAGGAGGUUUUCGGGUCGUAAAACUCUGUUGGUAGGGAAGGACGUUGGUGAGAGUAAAAAGCUCAUCAAGUGACGGUAACUACACAAAAAGCAACGGCUAACUACGUG
Molecule: ribosomal RNA, 497 nt
Filed under: uncultured bacterium
Lineage: Bacteria
Description: partial 16S ribosomal RNA
Rfam family: Bacterial small subunit ribosomal RNA
Source: RNAcentral